Long non-coding RNA from Neomonachus schauinslandi (Hawaiian monk seal), 330 nucleotides. RefSeq lists it as uncharacterized. NCBI's taxonomy places the organism in Eukaryota, Metazoa, Chordata, Mammalia, Carnivora, Phocidae. The record is from RefSeq and is a predicted model, not a curated record. The transcript has 3 exons.
ACUUAGGGAAAGGACCCAGGUCCGGUUGGACUCUGAAGCACGGCCAGGAGCACUCCAGGCAGAGGGAAAGGGAAUACAGGUACAUUCUGACAGAAUUGAAGCACCUAAUGGGGUACACAAUAAAAAUGCAGAAAAUGAGUCUGAGAGAGAAGGUCCUUACAGAAGUCCCCUAUCCAAGAAGCAGCAGGGCCUGGAUUCAAAUGCAAGCCUGUCUCACCACAGAGCAAGCCCACAUUUUUUCCCCCCGGCAGCGGGCAACCCGCCUAGUGGUGAGUCAGUGGUGCAAACAAGCACCCAGAGACCUGCCUUUUCUCAUAUUAAUGACAUGGU